UGCAGUCGAGCGGCAGCGGGAAAGUAGCUUGCUACUUUUGCCGGCGAGCGGCGGACGGGUGAGUAAUGCCUGGGAAAUUGCCCAGUCGAGGGGGAUAACAGUUGGAAACGACUGCUAAUACCGCAUACGCCCUACGGGGGAAAGCAGGGGACCUUCGGGCCUUGCGCGAUUGGAUAUGCCCAGGUGGGAUUAGCUAGUUGGUGAGGUAAUGGCUCACCAAGGCGACGAUCCCUAGCUGGUCUGAGAGGAUGAUCAGCCACACUGGAACUGAGACACGGUCCAGACUCCUACGGGAGGCAGCAGUGGGGAAUAUUGCACAAUGGGGGAAACCCUGAUGCAGCCAUGCCGCGUGUGUGAAGAAGGCCUUCGGGUUGUAAAGCACUUUCAGCGAGGAGGAAAGGUUGAUGCCUAAUACGUAUCAACUGUGACGUUACUCGCAGAAGAAGCACCGGCUAACUCCGUGCCAGCAGCCGNNGUAAUAC
This 482-nucleotide ribosomal RNA is filed under the name Aeromonas hydrophila. RNAcentral describes it as "bacterial SSU rRNA". It matches the Rfam family "Bacterial small subunit ribosomal RNA", at positions 56 to 526 of the family's 1533-position model. The record is from RNAcentral. Lineage: Bacteria; Pseudomonadati; Pseudomonadota; Gammaproteobacteria; Aeromonadales; Aeromonadaceae.